This 253-nucleotide ribosomal RNA is filed under the name uncultured bacterium. Its description in RNAcentral is "partial 16S ribosomal RNA". It matches the Rfam family "Bacterial small subunit ribosomal RNA", at positions 524 to 776 of the family's 1533-position model. The record is from RNAcentral.
UACAGAGGGUGCAAGCGUUGUUCGGAAUUACUGGGCGUAAAGCGUGCGUAGGCGGUAUUGAGAGUCACGGGUGAAAUCCCCAAGCUUAACUUGGGAACUGCCUGUGAGACCUCAGUACUAGAGUGCGAGAGAGGAUGGUGGAAUUCCUAGUGUAGCGGUGAAAUGCGUAGAGAUUAGGAAGAACACCGGUGGCGAAGGCGACCAUCUGGCUCGUAACUGACGCUCAGGCACGAAAGCGUGGGGAGCAAACAGG